This 497-nucleotide ribosomal RNA is filed under the name uncultured bacterium. RNAcentral describes it as "partial 16S ribosomal RNA". It matches the Rfam family "Bacterial small subunit ribosomal RNA", at positions 28 to 507 of the family's 1533-position model. The record is from RNAcentral.
GAUGAACGCUGGCGGCGUGCCUAACACAUGCAAGUCGAGCGAACGGACGAUAAGCUCGUUUCUCUGAUGUUAGCGGCGGACGGGUGAGUAACACGUGGAUAACCUACUUCUAUUACUGGGAUAACUUCGGGAAACCGGAGCUACUACCGGAUAAUAUUUUGUACCGCUUGGAUCAAGAGUUAAUGACGGUCUUGCUGUCUCUAUUAGAUGGUUCCGCGUUGCAUGAGCUAGUGGGUAAGGUAACGGCUUACCAAGGAGACGAGGCGUAGCUGACCUGAGAGGAUGAUCAGCCACACUGGAAGUGAGACACGGUCCAGACGCAUACGGGAGGCAGCAGUGGGGAAUAUUGGACAAUGGGCGCAAGCCUGAUCCAGCCAUACAGCGUGGGUGAAGAAGGCCUUCGGGUUGUAAAGCCCUUUUGUUGGGAAAGAAAAGCAGCAGGUGAAUACCCCGCUGUUCUGACGGUACCCAAAGAAUAAGCACCGGAUAACUUCGUG